UCCCAGACUCCUACGGGAGGCAGCAGUGAGGAAUAUUGGUCAAUGGGCGAGAGCCUGAACCAGCCAAGUCGCGUGAGGGAUGACUGCCCUAUGGGUUGUAAACCUCUUUUGUAUGGGGGGAAUAAGCUUUACGAGUAGAGUGAUGACAGUACCAUACGAAUAAGCAUCGGCUAACUCCGUGCCAGCAGCCGCGGUAAUACGGAGGAUCCGAGCGUUAUCCGGAUUUAUUGGGUUUAAAGGGUGCGUAGGCGGUUUGAUAAGUUAGAGGUGAAAUGUCGGGGCUCAACCCCGAAACUGCCUCUAAUACUGUUGGACUAGAGAAUAGUUGCGGUAGGCGGAAUGUAUGGUGUAGCGGUGAAAUGCUUAGAGAUCAUACAGAACACCGAUUGCGAAGGCAGCUUACCAAACUAUAUCUGACGUUGAGGCACGAAAGCGUGGGUAGCAAACAGGAUUAGAUACCCGUAUA
Molecule: ribosomal RNA, 466 nt
Filed under: uncultured bacterium
Lineage: Bacteria
Description: partial 16S ribosomal RNA
Rfam family: Bacterial small subunit ribosomal RNA
Source: RNAcentral